AUUGAACGCUGGCGGAAUGCUUUACACAUGCAAGUCGAACGGCAGCACGGACUUCGGUCUGGUGGCGAGUGGCGAACGGGUGAGUAAUGUAUCGGAACGUGCCCAGUCGUGGGGGAUAACGUAGUGAAAAUUACGCUAAUACCGCAUACGAUCUAUGGAUGAAAGCGGGGGAUCGCAAGACCUCGCGCGACUGGAGCGGCCGAUAUAAGAUUAGGUAGUUGGUGGGGGAAAGGCCCACCAAGCCAACGAUCUGGAGCUGGUCUGAGAGGACGACCAGCCACACUGGAACUGAGACACGGUCCAGACUCCUACGGGAGGCAGCAGUGGGGAAUCUUGAACAAUGGGCGAAAGCCUGAUCCAGCCAUUCCGCGUGCAGGAUGAAGGCCCUCGGGUUGUAAACUGUUUUUGUACAGAACGAAAAGGUUUCUACUAAUACUAGGAGCUCAUGACGGUACUGUAAGAAUAAGCACCGGCUAACUACGUGCCAGCCGCCGCGGUAA
RNAcentral lists this ribosomal RNA (500 nucleotides) under uncultured bacterium. RNAcentral's name for it is "partial 16S ribosomal RNA". It matches the Rfam family "Bacterial small subunit ribosomal RNA", at positions 30 to 523 of the family's 1533-position model. The record is from RNAcentral.